Molecule: long non-coding RNA, 766 nt
Filed under: Setaria viridis
Lineage: Eukaryota; Viridiplantae; Streptophyta; Magnoliopsida; Poales; Poaceae
Description: long non-coding RNA (SVIR_LNC009075)
Source: RNAcentral
AUUCUAUUUAUGAUGUUUUUAAAGUUGCCUAAGAGUUUUAUAGUCUAGUAGUUUAGAUAAUCUCCUAGGAGAAAAUAAAUAAAUUAACAAUAAAAUAUCUCCAACCAAUAUUUUCCAACAAAAGGCAUUACACCAGCUGGGGCGAGAAUGGAAAGGGAGCUGAUGCUCCCCUCACUGUAUCCGGAAUUAACUUUUUAUUUUUAAAUAUGUCACCCCGGGUGACAGAAUGAGCAAGAACAAAAGAAUUAGACUUCGACCGAAGGCAUGAGGAGACUAUAAUCAGGAGUACAACUGGACCACUGCUAGUUCUCCUUAAAAUGAAUGAAUAACCAACGAAUUCAGAGCAAGCCGGGGCGUGAGUGGAAGGGGAAGUGAUGCAUCACGAUGGGGGGAGCCUUCUGAUGAUCCCUCUUCUUCCUCUCUUUCCUCCCUGCUGCUGCAACAUCGCCCGGCUCACCUCCCAUCUUCUUCUUCUCCUCUGCUACUACCCGCUGCUGCCGCUUCGCCUCUGGACUACCUUCUACUCCUCCUGACUGCUUCCCAGCUGCUGGAGACUCCGCGACGACGGCUACACCGCCAAAGCAUCCUCCCAAGCCCAGCACCAUGAUCUAGCUCUUUGUCAAACACCUAAACUUCUCUCGGCUUCGGGUGAUGGCGUUUGAAAGUAGAAACUCCAAUCAAAUUUUUGUCUAGUCGAUGAUCUUGUUGUGCUUCGGCUAUGAGUGCUCGUGGUAUUUAUAGGGAUCGCCGGUAGAGCUGCGUGGGU